RNAcentral lists this ribosomal RNA (35 nucleotides) under Metarhizium pingshaense. Its description in RNAcentral is "Metarhizium pinghaense partial 18S ribosomal RNA". Lineage: Eukaryota; Fungi; Ascomycota; Sordariomycetes; Hypocreales; Clavicipitaceae. The record is from RNAcentral.
UCUCCCGUUGGUGAACCAGCGGAGGGAUCAUUACC